Molecule: non-coding RNA, 74 nt
Organism: Potamilus streckersoni
Lineage: Eukaryota; Metazoa; Mollusca; Bivalvia; Unionida; Unionidae
Source: the annotation of a GenBank genome assembly
CGCUCUGGUGGCCUAGUGGUUAGAGCGUCCGCCGCGGAUCCGAGAGGUCGUGGGUUUGAUCCCCGUUCGAGUCA